This is a long non-coding RNA of Cryptotermes secundus, 249 nucleotides long. RefSeq lists it as uncharacterized. NCBI's taxonomy places the organism in Eukaryota, Metazoa, Arthropoda, Insecta, Blattodea, Kalotermitidae. The transcript has 2 exons. The record is from RefSeq and is a predicted model, not a curated record.
UUUUAAGUAGUUUGCAAUGCGCCGGAAGGGAAGUAAGCUUACUUAUUUUAAAUAAUAACAUUUAUGAUGUCACUUUAAGAACGAGGAAAAGAGUGUUAUCUGCCAGGUGACAACUUUCAAACACACGUGCGAAGAAGUUAUAAUAUACAGGAAUCUUGUGCGAAAUUUCGAAAGCCCCAGUUGUGGCUAGUUGACACGUGCUUUUUGUCCCCUCUGUUUACUGUUCAUUGGUAACCACUGCUGGCACUA